AAGACCUUGCGCUUUUGGAGCGGCCGGUGUCUGAUUAGCUUGUUGGUGAGGUAAAGGCUUACCAAGGCUUCGAUCAGUAGCUGGUCUGAGAGGACGGCCAGCCACACUGGGACUGAGACACGGCCCAGACUCCUACGGGAGGCAGCAGUGGGGAAUUUUGGACAAUGGGGGCAACCCUGAUCCAGCCAUGCCGCGUGAGUGAAGAAGGCCUCCGGGUUGUAAAGCUCUUUCAGCCGGAACGAAACGGUUACGGUUAAUACCCGUGACUACUGACGGUACCGGAAGAAGAAGCACCGGCUAACUACGUGCCAGCAGCCGCGGUAAUACGUAGGGUGCAAGCGUUAAUCGGAAUUACUGGGCGUAAAGCGUGCGCAGGUGGUUUUGUAAGUCAGAUGUGAAAUCCCCGGGCUUAACCUGGGAACU
RNAcentral lists this ribosomal RNA (423 nucleotides) under uncultured bacterium. Its description in RNAcentral is "bacterial SSU rRNA". It matches the Rfam family "Bacterial small subunit ribosomal RNA", at positions 207 to 622 of the family's 1533-position model. The record is from RNAcentral.